AAACAACUCUCAGCAACGGAUAUCUUGGCUCUUGCAACGAUUGAAGAAGCAGCGAAAUGCGAUACGUAGUGUGAAUUGCAGAAUUCCGCGAAUCAUCGAGUCUUUGAACGCAAGUUGCGCCCGAGGCUUGUCCAAGGGCAUUUCCGCUAGAGCGUCACC
This 159-nucleotide ribosomal RNA is filed under the name Dolichomitra cymbifolia. RNAcentral's name for it is "5.8S ribosomal RNA". It matches the Rfam family "5.8S ribosomal RNA". From Rfam's summary of the family: 5.8S ribosomal RNA (5.8S rRNA) is a component of the large subunit of the eukaryotic ribosome. Lineage: Eukaryota; Viridiplantae; Streptophyta; Bryopsida; Hypnales; Lembophyllaceae. The record is from RNAcentral.